CCCGGGCGGAGCCAUCGGGGCCAGGUGAGCCCAGGUGGGACCAGGUGGGGACCAGGAGGGGACAGGAGGGGACAGGAGGGACCCGGGGCCACCUUAAAUAGCCCAGGUGAGGGUGGGGGAGGGGCCCAGGUGAGGCUGGGAGGCCCCGCCCACCCCCCAAAUCCUCUGAGUCACCGGGAUUGACCCGCUUGGGGUGGGGGGACACACCUGGGACACACCUGGGGGACACCUGGGGGACACCUGGGGGACACCUGAGACACCUGGGGGACACGUGAGGGGGAUGGGGACACACCUGGGGGACACCUGAGACACCUGGGGGACACCUGGGGACAGCGGGGACACACCUGGGAGGAUGGAGACACACGUGGGGACACACCUGGGGACAGUGGGGACACACCUGAGAUACCUGGGUCACACCUGGAGGGAAUUGGGAUACCUGGAGCACAUCUGGGUCACACCUGGAUCACACCUGGGGGUGGAUUGGGAUAUUUGGGUCACACCUGGGGCACACCUGGGGCAUCACCUGGGGCAUCAUCACCUGCUUCUCCCCCACCUGAGGGGGGUCAGGGCUCACCUGCCCAGGUGUGCGGUCGCCUGGCCAGGAUCAGGGUCAGGAUUUGGGGUUCACCUGUCCAGGAUCAGGGUCAGGGCUCACCUGGCCAGGUGUGACCUCACCUGUCUGGGAUCAGGGCCAGAGUUGGGGCUCACCUGUCCAGAAUCAGGAUCAGGGCCAGAUUUUGGGGCUCAUCUGGCCAGGUGUGGGGUCACCUGUCCAGGAUUACAGUCAGGGUCAGAUUUUGGGGCUCACCUGCCCAGAUCAGGAUCAGGGUCAGGAUUUGGGGCUCACCUGGCCAGAUCAGGAUCAGGGUCAGGAUUUGGGGCUCACCUGGCUGGGAUCAGGAUCAGGGAUUUUGGGGCUCACCUGCCCAGGUGUGACCUCACCUGGCCAGAUCAGGGUCAGGAUUUGGGCGCGGCCGACGCCGAAGUGACCCCGACCCCCAC
This 1002-nucleotide long non-coding RNA is filed under the name Camarhynchus parvulus. Its description in RNAcentral is "lncRNA (ENSCPVG00000018078.1)". The record is from RNAcentral. Lineage: Eukaryota; Metazoa; Chordata; Aves; Passeriformes; Thraupidae.